AAAUGCGAUAAGUAAUGUGAAUUGCAGAAUUCAGUGAAUCAUCGAAUCUUUGAACGCACCUUGCGCUCCUUGGUAUUCCUUGGAGCAUGCCUGUUUGAGUAUCAUGAAAUCUUCAAAGUAAAUCUUUUGUUAACUCAAUUGGUUUCUACUUUGGUAUUGGAGGUCUUUGCAGCUUCACACCUGCUCCUCUGUGUUCAUUAGCUGGAUCUCAGUGUUAUGCUUGGUUCCACUCGGCGUGAUAAGUUAUCUAUCGCUGAGGACACUGUAAAAGGUGGCCAAGGUAAAUGCAGAUGAACCGCUUCUAAUAGUCCAUUGACUUGGACAAUACUUUUAUGAUCUGAUCUCAAAUCAGGUAGGACUACCCGCUGAACUUAAGC
RNAcentral lists this unclassified non-coding RNA (377 nucleotides) under plant metagenome. RNAcentral describes it as "partial contains 5.8S ribosomal RNA, internal transcribed spacer 2, and large subunit ribosomal RNA". The stretch from base 1 to 104 matches the Rfam family "5.8S ribosomal RNA", at positions 51 to 154 of the family's 154-position model. The record is from RNAcentral.